Molecule: ribosomal RNA, 573 nt
Filed under: uncultured Tulasnellaceae
Lineage: Eukaryota; Fungi; Basidiomycota; Agaricomycetes; Cantharellales; Tulasnellaceae
Description: eukaryotic LSU rRNA
Rfam family: Eukaryotic large subunit ribosomal RNA
Source: RNAcentral
UUUUACACAUGACCUCACGGGGGCGGGACGACCCGCUAGACUUAAGCAUAUUAAUCAGCGGAGGAAAAGAAACUAACAAGGAUUCCCCUAGUAACUGCGAGUGAACAGGGAUGAGCUCAAUGUGUGAAUCAGGUCGGGAUUAGCUCCUUGCUUGAGUUGUGCACUAUAGACAGCGGAUCAGCGCUUGAAGACUCGUGGUGGAUAUCCGAUGAAACUCGGUGCUAUUAAGGGUCAUAGUCCUGUACUUGCCUUAUGAGUCUUUGCGCAUUUGACCGAUGUUCUGCGAGUCGCGUAGUUUUGUAAUGCUGCGCCAAUUUGGAGGUAGAGCCCUUCUAAAGCUAAAUAUGAUGAUGUGACCGAUAGCACACAAGUACCGCGAGGGAAAGGUGAAAAGCAACCAUGCAGAAUGGGUUGAAACAGCAGUGAAAGCGCUACCGGGAUAAGGGCUGGGGAUUGCUUGUGUCGCUUGCGCGUGCUUCAGUGCUGUGCUUGUGAACGGCAUGCAUCGAUUAGGAUGGGGAGAACAGGGCCACCGGGAAUUCGGCUAGAUCCGUCUAGUGUUGUAGCCCGGAG